RNAcentral lists this non-coding RNA (29 nucleotides) under Rattus norvegicus (Norway rat). Lineage: Eukaryota; Metazoa; Chordata; Mammalia; Rodentia; Muridae. The record is from RNAcentral.
CCCUAUGAACUCUGAACUUAAAUAUGAGA